This 74-nucleotide transfer RNA is filed under the name Staphylococcus pseudintermedius. RNAcentral describes it as "tRNA-Pro". It matches the Rfam family "tRNA". Rfam says of the family: Transfer RNA (tRNA) molecules are approximately 80 nucleotides in length. Their secondary structure includes four short double-helical elements and three loops (D, anti-codon, and T loops). Further hydrogen bonds mediate the characteristic L-shaped molecular structure. tRNAs have two regions of fundamental functional importance: the anti-codon, which is responsible for specific mRNA codon recognition, and the 3' end, to which the tRNAs corresponding amino acid is attached (by aminoacyl-tRNA synthetases). tRNAs cope with the degeneracy of the genetic code in two manners: having more than one tRNA (with a specific anti-codon) for a particular amino acid; and 'wobble' base-pairing, i.e. permitting non-standard base-pairing at the 3rd anti-codon position. Lineage: Bacteria; Bacillati; Bacillota; Bacilli; Caryophanales; Staphylococcaceae. The record is from RNAcentral.
CGGGAAGUAGCUCAGCUUGGUAGAGCACUUGGUUUGGGACCAAGGGGUCGCGAGUUCAAAUCCUGUCUUCCCGA